GACGAACGCUGGCGGCGUGCUUAACACAUGCAAGUCGAACGGAAAGGCCCUGCUUUUGUGGGGUGCUCGAGUGGCGAACGGGGGAGUAACACGUGAGUAACCUGCCCUUGACUGGGGGAGAACUUCAGGAAACUGGGGCUAAUACCGGAUAGGAGCUCCGGCUGCAGGGUGGGGGUUGGAAAGGUUCGGCGGGGGGGGAUGGACUCGCGGCUUAUCAGCUUGUUGGUGGGGUAGUGGCUUACCAAGGCUUUGACGGGUAGCCGGCCUGAGAGGGUGACCGGCCACAUUGGGACUUCGCUACGGCCCAGACUCCUCCGGGAGGCAGCCGUGCGGCCUCUUGCCCCAUGGGCGGACGCCUGCUGCAGCCACGCCGCGUGCGGGAUGACGGCCUUCGGGUUGUCAACCGCUUUCGCCUGUGCCGAAGCGUGCGUGCCGGUACUGGGUAAAGACGCACCGGCUAACUACGUG
Molecule: ribosomal RNA, 468 nt
Filed under: uncultured bacterium
Lineage: Bacteria
Description: partial 16S ribosomal RNA
Rfam family: Bacterial small subunit ribosomal RNA
Source: RNAcentral